GAUACAAAAACAGCAAUGAUUGUCUUGGUUGACAUGCUUGAUUUGCUCCAGUGGAAAUUUCAUGAAUUAAAAUAAUGAAUUGUGCAAAAUAAAUGUGUUAGUUUACAGAGAUAAGGUUCAUUUAAGAGCAAAUAAUCCUAACGAAAAUAAACAUUUCAUUGCUAAAGAUAUUUAUUUAUCAGAAAUAAUUCAAGUUGCAUUUCUUGCAGUCCAAGAGCUUGCCAUUUUUUCAUUGCACAUUUCUGAUAUACAGUAUACAUAUAUAAUACUUACUACUAAAUAUACAUAAUCUUGCAUUACCAAGAAAAAUCUCAUUAUUGUCUAUUCUUAGUCCAUUUUUCUUUCACUCACGGAUGGUCAAUAUCUGGAUGCUCAUAGCUAAUUCACAUUGAUAUGUAUUUCCAUUAAAAAAGAUUCACUGAGAUAAUCAUCAAAUAUAAAUGGCCAUUAACAUUUAUAUAAGGAGGUUACAAAAAGUAUUACUGAAUUGCCGUUGUAGUGCAUGAAUGCGAUUAUAAAGAUAUGUCAGAUACUCUUGUCAGAUUAACUUUUGGGGGCAAUUUAGAAAAUAAAUUUAACCAGAAAAAAUAUCAAAACUAUUUUUUAGGAAUAAAACAAUAUGCUAUAGCAUUGGUAAAGCAGUUUAUAAAAAAUCUUUAAUUUAUCAUACCAAUUAUUUGUGUAAAAUAUAGUGGGUAUUUGAAAGUCGACCAUGGUAAAGCAGCACUAAAAAGCUCCAUUGAUAUUUCACUAACCUAUGAGAAGCUACAGGCUUGUGACUUCAGCCUUAAUGUGCAAAGUGCAAAACUGAUAUGAAAUACAGUCUCAAAAUGAAUUGUUCAUUAAUUUACAGAUGCUUUAAAGGAAUAGAUCAAGCAAAACAAAUUACAAUUCAGUCAUCAUUAUCUGGUUCUGUCAUUCAAAACCUGUAUGAAUUUCUGAUUUUUGAUGUACUAGUUUAUGGAGUUUUUAUUUCCUUUAUUUCCUGAUCACUCUAUGUUUUCAUUCUUAGGAAAAGAUCGACAUUUCCUUUUGUGUUCCUUUGAAGAAAGAAAGUCAUACAAAUUUGAACAAUGAUCUCCAGCUGGCCCAAGUGGACCUGGUCUUCCUGGACGACCUGGAUCGCCCUGAGAAUAAAGUACCUUUUCUCCCAGAGCCCCUGCAAGACCAGGUUCUCCAACAUCUCCAGGAUAGCCAUCAGGACCCUGUAAAAGGCAC
Molecule: long non-coding RNA, 1218 nt
Organism: Sinocyclocheilus grahami
Lineage: Eukaryota; Metazoa; Chordata; Actinopteri; Cypriniformes; Cyprinidae
Exons: 3
Source: RefSeq, a predicted model, not a curated record